GAUGAACGCUGGCGGCGUGCCUAAUACAUGCAAGUCGAGCGAACAGAUAAGGAGCUUGCUCCUUGACGUUAGCGGCGGACGGGUGAGUAACACGUGGAUAACCUACCUAUAAGACUGGGAUAACUUCGGGAAACCGGAGCUAAUACCGGAUAACAUAUUGAACCGCAUGGUUCAAUAGUGAAAGGCGGCUUUGCUGUUACUUAUAGAUGGAUCCGCGCCGUAUUAGCUAGUUGGUAAGGUAACGGCUUACCAAGGCAACGAUACGUAGCCGACCUGAGAGGGUGAUCGGCCACACUGGAACUGAGACACGGUCCAGACUCCUACGGGAGGCAGCAGUAGGGAAUCUUCCGCAAUGGGCGAAAGCCUGACGGAGCAACGCCGCGUGAGUGAUGAAGGUCCUCGGAUCGUAAAACUCUGUUAUCAGGGAAGAACAAAUGUGUAAGUAACUGUGCACAUCUUGACGGUACCUGAUCAGAAAGCCACGGCUAACUACGUG
Molecule: ribosomal RNA, 496 nt
Filed under: uncultured bacterium
Lineage: Bacteria
Description: partial 16S ribosomal RNA
Rfam family: Bacterial small subunit ribosomal RNA
Source: RNAcentral